AUUGAACGCUGGCGGCAUGCCUUACACAUGCAAGUCGAACGGCAGCACGGGAGCAAUCCUGGUGGCGAGUGGCGAACGGGUGAGUAAUGUAUCGGAACGUACCUUUCAGUGGGGAGUAACGUAGCGAAAGUUACGCUAAUACCGCAUAUUCUGUGAGCAGGAAAGCAGGGGAGUCGCAAGACCUUGCGCUGAUUGAGCGGCCGAUAUCAGAUUAGCUAGUUGGUGAGGUAAAGGCUCACCAAGGCGACGAUCUGUAGCGGGUCUGAGAGGAUGAUCCGCCACACUGGAACUGAGACACGGUCCAGACUCCUACGGGAGGCAGCAGUGGGGAAUUUUAGACAAUGGGCGCAAGCCUGAUCCAGCCAUGCCGCGUGAGUGAAGAAGGCC
This 387-nucleotide ribosomal RNA is filed under the name uncultured bacterium. RNAcentral describes it as "bacterial SSU rRNA". It matches the Rfam family "Bacterial small subunit ribosomal RNA", at positions 30 to 416 of the family's 1533-position model. The record is from RNAcentral.